GAUGAACGCUGGCGGCGUGCCUAAUACAUGCAAGUCGAGCGAACAGACGAGGAGCUUGCUCCUCUGACGUUAGCGGCGGACGGGUGAGUAACACGUGGAUAACCUACCUAUAAGACUGGGAUAACUUCGGGAAACCGGAGCUAAUACCGGAUAAUAUAUUGAACCGCAUGGUUCAAUAGUGAAAGACGGUUUUGCUGUCACUUAUAGAUGGAACCGGGCCGCAUUAGCUAGUUGGUAAGGUAACGGCUUACCAAGGCAACGAUGCGUAGCCGACCUGAGAGGGUGAGCGGCCACACAGGAACUGAGACACGGUCCAGACUCCUACGAGAGGCAGCGGUAGGGAGUCUUCCGCAAUGGGCGGAAGCCUGACGGAGCAACGCCGCGUGAGUGAUGAAGGUCUUCGGAUCGUAAAACUCUGUUAUUAGGGAAGAACAAAUGUGUAAGUAACUAUGCACGUCUUGACGGUACCUAAUCAGAAAGCCACGGCUAACUACGUG
This 497-nucleotide ribosomal RNA is filed under the name uncultured bacterium. RNAcentral describes it as "partial 16S ribosomal RNA". It matches the Rfam family "Bacterial small subunit ribosomal RNA", at positions 28 to 507 of the family's 1533-position model. The record is from RNAcentral.